CCCCACCCGGCUGGCUGGCAGCACAGAAGUGGUACCUGCAGACCCAGGGAGAGCGGAGCCACUCACCUGACUCACCAGCGACAUGUCCGCAGCAGGUGGAAGUGCAGCCCCCCUUGACGGGAAAUUUGCGCAAAUGAUCAUCGACCGUGUGGACAAAUUGGAGGAGGAGAUUCGAGUGGACGAACACCGAAUCUGGAAGGCAGCCAUGAAGAUUCAGCUGCUCUUGGG
Long non-coding RNA from Sphaerodactylus townsendi, 228 nucleotides. RefSeq lists it as uncharacterized. Lineage: Eukaryota; Metazoa; Chordata; Lepidosauria; Squamata; Sphaerodactylidae. The transcript is spliced from 3 exons. The record is from RefSeq and is a predicted model, not a curated record.